Molecule: ribosomal RNA, 253 nt
Filed under: uncultured bacterium
Lineage: Bacteria
Description: partial 16S ribosomal RNA
Rfam family: Bacterial small subunit ribosomal RNA
Source: RNAcentral
UACGGAGGGGACUAGCGUUGUUCGGAAUUACUGGGCGUAACGCGCACGUAGGCGGAUUUGUAAGUCCGGGGUGAAAUCCCGGGGCUCAACCUCGGAACUGCCUUUGAUACUGCAAAUCUCGAGUCCGGAAGAGGUGAGUGGAAUUCCUAGUGUAGAGGUGAAAUUCGUAGAUAUGCGGAGGAACACCGAGGGCGAAGGCAAUCCCCUGGGCCGGCACUGACGCUCAUGCACGAAAGCGGGGGGAGCAAACAGG